GGAUGGCAGGUAGGCAGUGAGGAAGAAGGGCUUGGACCAUGUGGGAGUGAAUGCACGCAGGGUCGACGACUUUUUCAGGAAAGCUGAGCAUCAAAGGCAGGAGGCCCCGUAAGAAGGAUAGUAUUAGGAAGGCACCAUCUGUGGUUUGUCAAAAUUUUGACAUGUGGCAUAACCUGCCACUAAUCAAAACAGAG
RNAcentral lists this long non-coding RNA (194 nucleotides) under Capra hircus (goat). RNAcentral's name for it is "lncRNA (ENSCHIG00000007608.1)". Lineage: Eukaryota; Metazoa; Chordata; Mammalia; Artiodactyla; Bovidae. The record is from RNAcentral.